UGAGGAAUAUUGCACAAUGGGGGAAACCCUGAUGCAGCAACGCCGCGUGGAUGAUGAAGGCCUUCGGGUUGUAAAAUCCUUUUCUGGGGAACGAUGAUGACGGUACCCCAGGAAUAAGUCCCGGCUAACUACGUGCCAGCAGCCGCGGUAAAACGUAGGGGGCGAGCGUUAUCCGGAUUUACUGGGCGUAAAGCGCACGUAGGCGGCAUCGUAAGUUGGGCGUUAAAGCUCCUGGCUUAACUGGGAGAGGUCGUUCAAUACUGUCGGGCUAGAGGACGGCAGAGGGAGGUGGAAUUCCCGGUGUAGUGGUGAAAUGCGUAGAUAUCGGGAGGAACACCAGUGGCGAAGGCGGCCUUCUGGGCCGAACCUGACGCUCAGACGCGAAAGCUAGGGGAGCGAACGGGAUUAGAAACCCCGGUAGUCCUAGCCGUAAACGAUGUAGACUGGGUGUCGGCGGGGUAAAAGCCGUCGGUGCCGAAGCAAACGCGAUAAGUCUACCGCCUGGGGACUACGGCCGCAAGGUUA
Molecule: ribosomal RNA, 525 nt
Filed under: uncultured bacterium
Lineage: Bacteria
Description: bacterial SSU rRNA
Rfam family: Bacterial small subunit ribosomal RNA
Source: RNAcentral